UGAAGCCGACAGCGCAGUGUUUUCUGGGUAACGCGGUUCAAAGGUCAUCGUCAUUGAGCAACGACAGACAGAACCGCGAGACAUAACCAGAUCGGGAAGCUAUGACAUGAUUCUGUUGGAGACAGAAUAUGGCAGUACGUCCAUCCCGCCACAAUCUUCACCUGCGGGAUCGUCUGAGACCAGCGACGGGACAGCUGAUGAAACUGAGGAGCAUUUCUGUCUCUAAUAAAACUAUUUUGUGGGGAAAAACUAAUUCUGAUUGGCUGGGCCUGGUUCUCCAGUGGGUGGACCUGGCUCCCAAAUGGGCGGGCCUUUGCCCUCCCAGGUCCAUCCAUGGCUGCGGCCCUGCCCAGUCAUGUGAUAUCUAUACAUUAGAGCCUAAUGAAUUCAUUUAAAUUGACAGAUUUCCUUAUAUGAACUGUAACUCAGUAAAAUCAUUGAAAUUGUUGCAUGUUGUGUUUUAUAUGUUUGUUCAUUAAAAAUCCAAUGACAUGGUGCUA
Molecule: long non-coding RNA, 500 nt
Organism: Oncorhynchus nerka (sockeye salmon)
Lineage: Eukaryota; Metazoa; Chordata; Actinopteri; Salmoniformes; Salmonidae
Exons: 3
Source: RefSeq, a predicted model, not a curated record